Molecule: ribosomal RNA, 253 nt
Filed under: uncultured bacterium
Lineage: Bacteria
Description: partial 16S ribosomal RNA
Rfam family: Bacterial small subunit ribosomal RNA
Source: RNAcentral
UACGUAGGGUGCGAGCGUUAAUCGGAAUUACUGGGCGUAAAGCGUGCGCAGGCGGUGAUGUAAGACAGGUGUGAAAUCCCCGGGCUUAACCUGGGAACUGCAUUUGUGACUGCAUUGCUGGAGUGCGGCAGAGGGGGAUGGAAUUCCGCGUGUAGCAGUGAAAUGCGUAGAUAUGCGGAGGAACACCGAUGGCGAAGGCAAUCCCCUGGGCCUGCACUGACGCUCAUGCGCGAAAGCGUGGGGAGCAAACAGG